RNAcentral lists this unclassified non-coding RNA (212 nucleotides) under Hevea brasiliensis (rubber tree). The record is from RNAcentral. Lineage: Eukaryota; Viridiplantae; Streptophyta; Magnoliopsida; Malpighiales; Euphorbiaceae.
UGUUGAAAAUAUAUAUUAUUGUGAAUUGUUGUACUUUUGUUAUUGAGAAUAUGUGAAGUGUUUUUAACAGGUGUAAUUGAUGCCUAAUAACUAAGCUGGACUGUCCAAAAUUAAAGGGAAAUGAUGUCAUUUUUUUUAUAAAUAUUAUCAUACUAAUACAAAUGUGUUAAUUUUUAUUUGUUUUACUACAGAAAUACUUUGACUGGCAGGAG